CUUACCGAAUACUCAAUUAACGAGUCAUCUUCUAGAACACCCAAAUUCACAAUUCAUCUUAUCCCGACAUCGAUUUUUCUUCAACGCGAAAUGUCUGAUUCUAGGCGAAGUAUCGGCGUAUGCUAUUCCAUAAAGGCAAUUCUUAUCAAGUGUGUAAGAAACUCCACCAAAAAACAUACAAAUCUUACUGUGGCAGGCAAAAGGUCUAGAGGUGAGAUUUAUUUUCAUUUGGUGGAAUUCAACAUGAGCUGACUAUUGGAUUCAAAAGUUGAAAAAAGAUUUGGCUUCCUUAUCAAAACAAGAAUGCCAUGACUGAAUCCGUUGAAGAUAGUAUUGGUUUCUCCAAGAAUAUAUAGAGCCAAGCACUACAGAACUAUUGCUGAUGUUAUAGAACAGUUGCUUGGCCCAUAAUAUUUGGUUACAAUGGAUGCAUAAAGAAUAUUGAAGACAAUUGGGUAUGAGUUUAUGAUCAAGUUAUACCUUUGGAUGCAUUCGAAGUUGCUUUCAAACAUCGGAGUAUUAGUUUUACAAGAGACCUAUGGAAGGGAGAUAUUUUAUAUUGUAGAUGUUGGAGCAGUUAUUUAAAUAUUUUUGUUGUUUUGAAACAUUGUAAGUUGUAAAGGGUAACUACCAUUUGACGAACACUUUUCGAUGAGUUUGUAUAUAACUAGUUCUUUGUGUUUGUGUAUGUGUAUGUUUGAAAUUUGAUA
Erythranthe guttata (spotted monkey flower) is the source of this 710-nucleotide non-coding RNA. The record is from RefSeq and is a predicted model, not a curated record. Lineage: Eukaryota; Viridiplantae; Streptophyta; Magnoliopsida; Lamiales; Phrymaceae.